GACGAACGCUGGCGGCGUGCUUAACACAUGCAAGUCGUACGGUAAGGCCCUUUCGGGGGUACACGAGUGGCGCACGGGUGAGUAACACGUGAGUAACCUGCCCACAACUUUGGGAUAACGCUAGGAAACUGGUGCUAAUACUCGAUAUGUGCCCCUGCUGCAUGGUGGGGGUUGGAAAGCUCCGGCGGUUGUGGAUGGACUCGCGGCCUAUCAGCUUGUUGGUGGGGUAGUGGCCUACCAAGGCGGCGACGGGUAGCCGGCCUGAGAGGGUGACCGGCCACAUUGGGACUGAGAUACGGCCCAGACUCCUACGGGAGGCAGCAGUGGGGAAUAUUGCACAAGGGGCGCAAGCCUGAUGCAGCAACGCCGCGUGCGGGAGGACGGCCUUCGGGUUGUAAACCGCUUUCAGCAGGGACGAAGCUUUUUGUGACGGUACCUGCAGAAGAAGCACCGGCUAACUACGUG
This 465-nucleotide ribosomal RNA is filed under the name uncultured bacterium. Its description in RNAcentral is "partial 16S ribosomal RNA". It matches the Rfam family "Bacterial small subunit ribosomal RNA", at positions 28 to 507 of the family's 1533-position model. The record is from RNAcentral.